AUACGGAGGAUCCGAGCGUUAUCCGGAUUUAUUGGGUUUAAAGGGAGCGUAGGCGGAAGUUCAAGUCAGUUGUGAAAUGUAGAUGCUCAACAUCUGCACUGCAGUUGAAACUGGUGUUCUUGAGUGCGUAAGAGGUAGGCGGAAUUCGUCGUGUAGCGGUGAAAUGCAUAGAUAUGACGAAGAACUCCGAUUGCGAAGGCAGCUUACUGGGCCGCAACUGACGCUGAAGCUCGAAGGUGCGGGUAUC
Molecule: ribosomal RNA, 247 nt
Filed under: uncultured bacterium
Lineage: Bacteria
Description: partial 16S ribosomal RNA
Rfam family: Bacterial small subunit ribosomal RNA
Source: RNAcentral